This is a small nucleolar RNA of Artibeus jamaicensis (Jamaican fruit-eating bat), 156 nucleotides long. RefSeq annotates it as small nucleolar RNA SNORA79. The record is from RefSeq and is a predicted model, not a curated record. The transcript has a single exon. Lineage: Eukaryota; Metazoa; Chordata; Mammalia; Chiroptera; Phyllostomidae.
UGGUGUGCAUGCCCAACAGCAAGGACAGAAUUAAGAACUCCACUGGCACUAGGAUUUUAGGUCAUCAUAAAUUAAAAUUAAAUUUUCUUCACUCAGAAACUAUUAGGAUAAUGGAAUUAUCUGUUUAUUUUCUGAAAUUUGCGUAAUCAAACAGUA